RNAcentral lists this unclassified non-coding RNA (1498 nucleotides) under Hevea brasiliensis (rubber tree). The record is from RNAcentral. Lineage: Eukaryota; Viridiplantae; Streptophyta; Magnoliopsida; Malpighiales; Euphorbiaceae.
AAGGACAAGGAGAUUAAAGACAUCGCCACAAUCUCAUCAUAAGAUCUUUCUAUGGCAUUUAAGAUUGUUGUAUACCCAUGAGAAAUUUUAUUCACUUGUAAUAUUGCGAAGAAUUGUGACGUAACCUUUGGGCAUUAUGCAUGUCUGGUCUUGUGGCCAUUGCUGAUAAUGUUGAAAGAGUACUAACUUCUGCAGACAGAACAAAAUCUGUUGAUGCCAUCUCUGAUAGAGACCGCUUGUCUAUAUCAAUCAACGGUGAAACUACCCAUGCUUCCUCUGAAGCUGCUUCCUUUAGAGUUGGGGAGCUCAGUCUUCCCAAUGGGGAAUCAUAUUCUGGGUCGUUGCUCAGCAAUGUACCUGAGGGCCAUGGGAAGUACGUGUGGUCAGAUGGUUGCAUUUAUGAGGGAGAAUGGAGACGGGGGAUGAGGCAUGGAAAUGGAAAAAUUCAAUGGCCUUCUGGAGCUGCUUAUGAGGGUGAAUUUUCAGGUGGUUAUAUGCAUGGUACGGGGACCUAUAUUGGUUCCAAUAAUUUGACCUAUAAGGGAAGAUGGCGGUUGAAUCUCAAACAUGGGUUAGGAUAUCAAGUUUAUUCUAACGGAGAUAUCUUUGAGGGCUCCUGGAUCCAAGGAACACCAGAAGGACCAGGCAAGUAUACCUGGGCUAAUGGGAAUGUUUAUCUUGGGAAUAUGAAAGGAGGUAAAAUGACAGGUAAAGGGACUCUUACAUGGAUAAACGGUGACUCGUUUGAGGGAAGCUGGUUAAAUGGUAUGAUGCAUGGAUUUGGAGUAUAUACAUGGAAUGAUGGUGGUUGCUAUGUUGGAACUUGGACACACGGUCUCAAGGAUGGCAAAGGAUCAUUUUAUCCAAAAGGAAGCCGGUUUCCAGCUGUACAAGAACGAUAUCUCAAUGCUUUAAGAAAACGAGGAUUACUGCCAGAUUUGAGAAAGCAGAACCAUGCACAUAUUCAUCAUGCUUCAUCAGUGGAUAUGGCAAAUGUCAAGAUUGGUGGGAACCAGGGAUCUCAUCGUAAUUCAUCCGAUAAACUAUCCAAGGGAAACUUACUAACUUUAGAGCAGUCUCGCAACAAGAAUGUUUCCCUGGAAAGGCGUUGGAGUCUUGAGGUAUCAAUUGAAAAAGUGAUAGGACAUGAUUCAUCAUUAGAGUUAUCAGAAUCUGCCUUAGAAGGCAUGGAGAAAGAGUUUGAAACCAAUGCAGCGCCAAUCUUGGAACGUGAAUAUAUGCAAGGUGUUCUAAUUAAUGAACUUGUAUUAAAUAAUAACUUUUCAUCAACGUCUAGAAGAGCCAAACGUCGACAAAAGAGACUGGCAAAGGAGGUUAAGAGGCCUGGUGAAACAAUCAUUAAAGGGCACAGGAGUUACGAUUUGAUGCUCAGUUUGCAGCUUGGAAUCAGGUAUACUGUUGGAAAAAUUACACCUGUACAGAGGCGAGAAGUUCGCUCAUCAGAUUUUGGUCCAAGAGCAAGCUUUUGGAUGAAUUU